AACGGUCUAUACCUGCGGUACCUGCGGAAGGAUCAUUAGUGAACGCCCCCACGGGCUUAUAACUAUUCCAAACCUCUGUGAACCGUGCCCUUCGGGGCUAUUUUACAAACAUGGUGUAAUGAACGUCAUAUAUCAUAACAAAACAAAACUUUUAGCAACGGAUCUCU
Molecule: unclassified non-coding RNA, 167 nt
Filed under: soil metagenome
Description: partial contains 5.8S ribosomal RNA, internal transcribed spacer 2, and large subunit ribosomal RNA
Source: RNAcentral